GACGAACGCUGGCGGCGUGCCUAACACAUGCAAGUCGAACGAAGCACUGUGGAUGGAGACUUCGGUCAACUGAAACUUUGACUUAGUGGCGGACGGGUGAGUAACGCGUGAGGAACCUGCCUUUCAGUGGGGGACAACAGUUGGAAACGACUGCUAAUACCGCAUAAUGUUGUCGGAUGGCAUCAUCUGACAACCAAAGCUUUAUGUGCUGAAAGAUGGCCUCGCGUCUGAUUAGAUAGUUGGUGAGGUAACGGCUCACCAAGGCGACGAUCGGUAGCCGGACUGAGAGGUUGAACGGCCACAUUGGGGCUGAGACACGGCCCAGACUCCUACGGGAGGCAGCAGUGGGGGGAUAUUGCGCAAUGGGGGAAACCCUGACGCAGCAACGCCGCGUGAAGGAAGACGGUUUUCGGAUUGUAAACUUCUUUUAUAAGGGACGAAAUUGACGGUACCUUAUGAAUAAGCUCCGGCUAACUACGUG
RNAcentral lists this ribosomal RNA (481 nucleotides) under uncultured bacterium. RNAcentral describes it as "bacterial SSU rRNA". It matches the Rfam family "Bacterial small subunit ribosomal RNA", at positions 28 to 507 of the family's 1533-position model. The record is from RNAcentral.